GCUGUAGCUCAGUGGGUGUAAAGCACAUGCCCUGCAUGCACUAGGCCCCAGGUUUGAUCCUUGGUUUCUCCC
Non-coding RNA from Podarcis lilfordi (Lilford's wall lizard), 72 nucleotides. Lineage: Eukaryota; Metazoa; Chordata; Lepidosauria; Squamata; Lacertidae. The record is from the annotation of a GenBank genome assembly.